AGUGAACGCUGGCGGUAGGCCUAACACAUGCAAGUCGAACGGCAGCACAGUAAGAGCUUGCUCUUACGGGUGGCGAGUGGCGGACGGGUGAGGAAUACAUCGGAAUCUACUUUUUCGUGGGGGAUAACGUAGGGAAACUUACGCUAAUACCGCAUACGACCUACGGGUGAAAGCAGGGGAUCUUCGGACCUUGCGCGAUUGAAUGAGCCGAUGUCGGAUUAGCUAGUUGGCGGGGUAAAGGCCCACCAAGGCGACGAUCCGUAGCUGGUCUGAGAGGAUGAUCAGCCACACUGGACCUGGGAAACGUUCAGAACUCCAACGGGAGGCGGAGGUGGGAAAUAUGGAACAAGGGGCGCAAGCCUGACCCAGCCAUACCGCGGGGGUAAGAAGGCCUUCGGGUUGUAAAGCCCUUUUGUUGGGAAAGAAAAGCAGCAGGUUAAUACCCCGCUGUUCUGACGGUACCCAAAGAAUAAGCACCGGCUAACUUCGUG
RNAcentral lists this ribosomal RNA (491 nucleotides) under uncultured bacterium. Its description in RNAcentral is "partial 16S ribosomal RNA". It matches the Rfam family "Bacterial small subunit ribosomal RNA", at positions 29 to 507 of the family's 1533-position model. The record is from RNAcentral.